Molecule: small RNA, 546 nt
Filed under: Pan troglodytes (chimpanzee)
Lineage: Eukaryota; Metazoa; Chordata; Mammalia; Primates; Hominidae
Description: retained intron
Source: RNAcentral
UAUUUAAAUAGUCCUUUAAAGUUCUUUGAGUGGCAGAGAACGUUUUUGGUUUCAGUCUGAGAAGGCUACCAAAUGGUUUAAGUUCAUUUCAUAGUUAGGAGAAAAAGAUUUUGAGUAGUCUAAUGUCGUCAGAAAGGAUUAAAACGUUGUUUGUACCAAGAAGGCAGAAUGAAGAAGGAUCACAUUCACAAAUGCUGUAUGUUUAACAAAAUACGUUUAGAUGGUAAUAUCCAAUAGUCUUAUCAAGUGCUACAAUCUUUUUAAACAGGGAAUGGCCAAAUCCAGUGCUAUUGAAACAGCCUGAAGAAUGCAAUCUUAAUUUGCCUGUAUGGGACCCAAGGGUAAACCCCAGUGAUAGGUACCAUCUUAUGCCUAUAAUUACACCAGCAUACCCACAACAGAACUCCACGUACAAUGUGUCCGUUUCAACACGGAUGGUCAUGGUUGAGGAGUUUAAACAAGGUCUUGCUAUCACAGAUGAAAUUUUGCUGAGUAAGGCAGAGUGGUCCAAACUUUUUGAAGCUCCAAACUUCUUUCAAAAGUACA